CUAUGCUCUGUUGAUUGUGAUGUUUCUGUGGAUAUUAAACUGUAGCGUCACUAUCUGAUAUAAAUACUUAAACUCCUGAGGUAAAUUUUUGAAUAAAAACACUAUAAAGACUAUAUUUGACAUUUUGUGAAAUGUGGUUUUACAUGUCAAAUGUUAGGAGUGGAAACAGAGUUCACCACAUGAAGGACAGUCCAGUACUUCCAGGUAUUUUAGAAGAAGAUUCCCCAUAUUAUCCUUAUUAAUGAGGCGAGAGCUUUAAGAGAGGAAGUUGAUUGGGCCGCCAGUCCCCCCAGAAGUCCCCAAGGUUCAGAGUUCAGAGUUCAGGUAAGAACAGACACCUUUUUAAAUUUAUCUGCACCCAAAGUCCAUUAAAAAUCCCCAAGCACACAUUGUUAUUGCUUUUUUUCUUACUGAACAAGAUUUGUUAUCUGAUUAAACAACAACGAGAAGAUGGGUACAUUUUUGGUUGGUUGCUAAGGUGUGUCUAGGUGGUUGCUAUAAUGUUGC
This 507-nucleotide long non-coding RNA is filed under the name Astyanax mexicanus (Mexican tetra). RNAcentral describes it as "lncRNA (ENSAMXG00005016751.1)". Lineage: Eukaryota; Metazoa; Chordata; Actinopteri; Characiformes; Acestrorhamphidae. The record is from RNAcentral.